RNAcentral lists this ribosomal RNA (1197 nucleotides) under uncultured bacterium. RNAcentral describes it as "bacterial SSU rRNA". It matches the Rfam family "Bacterial small subunit ribosomal RNA", at positions 128 to 1321 of the family's 1533-position model. The record is from RNAcentral.
ACCUAGUAGAAGGGGAUAGCCCGGGGAAACUCGGAUUAAUACCGUAUACCUCCUUCGGGAGAAAGAAGGCCUCUCUUUGAAGCUUUCGCUACUAGAUGAGCCUGCGUAAGAUUAGCUUGUUGGUGAGGUAAAGGCUCACCAAGGCGACGAUCUUUAGCGGGUCUGAGAGGACGAUCCGCCACAUUGGGACUGAGACACGGCCCAGACUCCUACGGGAGGCAGCAGUGAGGAAUAUUGGACAAUGGGCGCAAGCCUGAUCCAGCCAUACCGCGUGUGUGAAGAAGGCCCUAGGGUUGUAAAGCACUUUAAGUUGGGAAGAAAAGUUAUUGGUUAAUACCCAAUAGCCGUGACAUUACCAUCAGAAUAAGGACCGGCUAAUUCCGUGCCAGCAGCCGCGGUAAUACGGAAGGUCCAAGCGUUAAUCGGAAUUACUGGGCGUAAAGCGCGCGUAGGUGGUUUAUUAAGUUGGAUGUGAAAUCCCCGGGCUCAACCUGGGAACUGCAUCCAAAACUGAUUCACUAGAGUACGAUAGAGGGAGGUAGAAUUCACAGUGUAGCGGUGGAAUGCGUAGAUAUUGUGAAGAAUACCAAUGGCGAAGGCAGCCUCCUGGAUCUGUACUGACACUGAGGUGCGAAAGCGUGGGUAGCGAACAGGAUUAGAUACCCUGGUAGUCCACGCCGUAAACGAUGUCAACUAGCUGUUGGGGAACUAUGUUCUUCAGUGGCGCAGCUAACGUAGUAAGUUGACCGCCUGGGGAGUACGGCCGCAAGGCUAAAACUCAAAUGAAUUGACGGGGACCCGCACAAGCGGUGGAGCAUGUGGUUUAAUUCGAUGCAACGCGAAAAACCUUACCUAUACUUGACAUACCUGGAAUGCUUUGUAAUGAAGUAGUGCCUUCGGGAGCCAGGAUACAGGUGCUGCAUGGCUGUCGUCAGCUCGUGUCGUGAGAUGUUCCGUUAAGUCGGAUAACGAGCGCAACCCUUACCCUUAUUUGCCAGCGAUUCGGUCGGGAACUAUAAGGGGACUGCCGGUGAUAAACCGGAGGAAGGUGAGGACGACGUCAAGUCAUCAUGGCCCUUACGUAUAGGGCUACACACGUGCUACAAUGGGGAAUACAGACGGACGCUAAGCCGCGAGGUGGUGCUAAUCCUAGAAAAUUCUUCGUAGUCCGGAUUGGAGUCUGCAACUCGACUCCAU